GCGCAAAUUACCCACUCCCGGCACGGGGAGGUAGUGACGAAAAAUAACAAUACGGGACUCUUUUGAGACCCCGUAAUUGGAAUGAGUACACUCUAAAUCCUUUAACGAGGAUCUAUUGGAGGGCAAGUCUGGUGCCAGCAGCCGCGGUAAUUCCAGCUCCAAUAGCGUAUAUUAAAGUUGUUGCGGUUAAAAAGCUCGUAGUUGGAUCUCAGUUCCAGACGGGCGGUCCGCCUAACGGUGGUUACUGCCUGGCCUGAACAGCCAGCCGGUUUCCCUAGAUGAUCUUCACCGGUUGUCUUGGGUGACCGGCACGUUUACUUUGAAAAAAUUAGAGUGCUCAAAGCAGGCGUGUAGCCUGAAUAAUGGUGCAUGGAAUAAUGGAAUAGGACUUCGUUUCUAUUUUGUUGGUUUUCGGAACACGAGGUAAUGAUUAAGAGGGACAGACGGGGGCAUUCGUAUUGCGACGCUAGAGGUGAAAUUCUUGGACCGUCGCAAGACGAACUACU
Molecule: ribosomal RNA, 506 nt
Filed under: Macrothele bannaensis
Lineage: Eukaryota; Metazoa; Arthropoda; Arachnida; Araneae; Macrothelidae
Description: SSU rRNA
Rfam family: Eukaryotic small subunit ribosomal RNA
Source: RNAcentral